This 73-nucleotide transfer RNA is filed under the name Lebiasina multimaculata. RNAcentral describes it as "tRNA-Thr". It matches the Rfam family "tRNA". From Rfam's summary of the family: Transfer RNA (tRNA) molecules are approximately 80 nucleotides in length. Their secondary structure includes four short double-helical elements and three loops (D, anti-codon, and T loops). The record is from RNAcentral. RNAcentral also lists the same sequence under 1 other name. Lineage: Eukaryota; Metazoa; Chordata; Actinopteri; Characiformes; Lebiasinidae.
GCCCUAGUAGCUUAGUUCCCAAAGCACCGGUUUUGUAACCCGGAGAUCGGAGGUUAAAACCCUCCCUAGUGCC